Molecule: long non-coding RNA, 3409 nt
Filed under: Malus domestica (apple)
Lineage: Eukaryota; Viridiplantae; Streptophyta; Magnoliopsida; Rosales; Rosaceae
Description: long non-coding RNA (MDOM_LNC020200)
Source: RNAcentral
AUAAGCAUUGACGAAGCACUUGUUACUAUGAUUGCAUGAAACUUAUGCCAAGAAUUUACUUAACGCAAUUGAGAUCAUCAACCUUUACUACUUGUGAAUAUAAUUCCAUAACGAUUAGGUGAAAUUUCCUUAUAUCCUAGCAUUCAAUUUAUGCAUGAUAAUUAAGCGUGCACUCUCAACCAACACACACAAAUCAAUGUAAUUCACAUAGAUAAAUAAAUUGAAUUCACAACUUAUGAAACACAAUUAGAAGUAAUCAAAUCAUAUCACAAGCAUAAACAUGUAUUUCGAAUCCCCCCCUAGCCAAGGGGGGGUUUAGUUCCUCAUACGCACAAAACAAAGAGAAUUGAAUUUAAACAUUGAAAUCAAAGGAAAAGAAACACCUAGAAAUUCCAGCGACGCGAACUUGAAUUGUAUGAACUUCCAAGCUUCCUUCUCCUCCUCCUUGGUGCGGCAAAGGGUCUAGGGACAGGUUUAGGGCCUUAGGUGUAUGGAUGCAUGGUUAUGGAGGAAUGUAGUAGUGUUUAGGGGAUGGGAAUGGUGCGGCAAGAACUUAGAACUAGGGGGAAUGGUGUUUGGUGGCUGCGGCAAGAGUGUGGAGAGGGUUGGACGAAUUUCUGGAGUGAAUUGUGAAUUGUGGUGAGUGGUGAUCUGAUUUAGGGGUUAAUAUGAAUAUAUAUAGGCACUUAAAACCCUAGGGUAAUCAGAUAUGGACUUGGAUAACCCAAAUCCACAAGGAAAUAGGUCUAAACAAUCAGAUUUUGCAAGGAAAAGGGAUAAGGGUGCGGCAGCAAUGGGAUAAGGUGAUAAGGUUUCUAGAAUGCCUUGCAAGGCAAGGAAUUAGGGUAUCUAGAAGCUAGGGUGCGGCACCAAAGUAGGGAUUAAGGAUAGGGCUCCUAGAAAGCCCCAAAACUGAUAGGAAUGGCAUGAAACCCACGGCAAGGAUGGAAACUUUCUAUAAACUUCUCAUUUGUGUCCUACAACACUUAGGAGUCCUUCUAGGAUUAGGAAAACAUGUCUCAAUCCUCUCUUGACUUGGAAUUCUUCUCCUACUUCAUCUUGGAAACCUUUCCUUCUUGGACUUGGAAAUGUUCUUUGUAGCUGCAACUUGAUGCCAUUUGGAUUUAACUUUCCUACUUCGAGUAGGAAACCUUGUUUGAGUAGGAAUCUUCAUUCUUCUAGGAAUCCAUCUUCAACUAGGAAUCCCUCGUAGAUUAGGAAUCCUUCUUCAAUUAGGAAUCCUUUGUUGAUUAGGAUUUCAUCUUUUAAUUAGGCGCUUUCCCACUUCGACUAGGAAACCUUUUUCAAGUAGGAAACAUCAUCUUCAAAUCUUCAAUUUCGUCCAUCCUCUUGGCUCCAAGCAUAUGAUGUCCAUUCCAAGCUCUAAAUUGCUCCAAAAGGCUCCAAAAUGCAUCCUUUUGCAUACUUUGCCCUUAGAACCUGAAAACACAUAAAACUAGCUUAAAAGACUACUUUACUAAGGAAAAACACUAUAAAUGCACAAGAACAAGUGAUGUCAAAAUUAUGUUGACACUCAAAUUAACCCUCUUUUUAUCAAUUGUAGCAAAGUAUGUAAGUAGGGAUCGUUCUAAACCGGGGAUUAGGAGGGAUUGCAAAAUCACUUGAAAACUGACUCAAAUAUGUAAAAACAAGUUUAAAACACUAAACUAGACUCAAAGAAUGCAAAACUAAACUUUAAAACACCAAAACAAACCAAAAGACUCAAAACUGCCUUAAAAACACAAUCUGGGCAGUUUUGGACACUAAGCACCAAAUUGGACGAAUUUGGGUUUUAACUUGAAUCAAAACACUUAAAAACACAAAGUAAAACACUUACUAACUAAUUUGACACUUUAAAACAAAGGGGGAUUGGUUUUGGACGAAUUUAAAAACAAAACAAACUUUGUAAAUUAGAACAGAUUGUAAAAACGAAUUUGAUUUAAAUGGGUGAAUGGAAGGCUAGCUAAGGGGUUCAUCUCCACACAUGUUAUACUUGCAUACAAAACGAUUUCCAAUUGCUUUUCAAUAAACCAUGAAUUCUCAAUGCCCCAAGUUAAUUAGUUCCGCUUAAAUUAACCCUCAGAUUUUCCUAACGUUAUUGAAUUGGAUGAUUGCAUACGACAACCCAAAACAUUCCCCACAAGUCCCCUACAUGAUUGCAUAAUAGAGAUACAAGCAAGAAUCAUUAAGUUCUAUGAAAACCAUAAGCAUUGACGAAGCACUUGUUACUAUGAUUGCAUGAAACUUAUGCCAAGAAUUUACUUAACGUGAUUGAGAUCAUCAACCUUUACUACUUGUGAAUAUAAUUCCAUAACGAUUAGGUGAAAUUUCCUUAUAUCCUAGCAUUCAAUUUAUGCAUGAUAAUUAAGCGUGCACUCUCAACCAACACACACAAAUCAAUGUAAUCCACAUAGAUAAGUAAAUUGAAUUCACAACUUAUGAAACGCAAUUAGAAGUAACCAAAUCAUAACGCAAGCAUAAACAUGUAUUUCGAAUCCCCCCCUAGCCAAGGGGGGUUUAGUUCCUCAUAUGCACAAAACAAAGAGAAUUGAAUUUAAACAUUGAAAUCAAAGGAAAAGAACACCUCGAAAUUCCAGCGACGCGAACUUGAAUUGCAUGAACUUCCGAGCUUCCUUCUCCUCCUCCUUGGUGCGGCAAAGGGUCUAGGGACUAGUUUAGGACCUUAGGUGUAUGGAUGCAUGGUUAUGGAUGGAUGUAGUAGUGUUUAGGGGAAGAGAAUGGUGCGGCAAAGGUGUGGAGAGAGUUUGGACGAAUUUCUGGAGUGAAUUCUGAAUUGUGGUGAGUGGUGAUCUGAUUUAGGGGUUAAUAGGAGUAUAUAUAGGCACUUAAAACCCUAGGGUAAUCAGAUAUGGACUUGGAUAACCCAAAUGCACAAGGAAAUAGGUCUAAACAAUCAGAUUUUGCAAGGGAAAAGGGGUCCUAGGUGCGGCUGGAUAGGGAUAAGGUGGAUAAGGCUUCUAGAUGGCCUUGCAAGGCAAGGAAAUCAGGUUUCUAGAAGGGAUAGGUGCGGCACUUAAAGGAUAGGGCAGAUUAGGGCUUCUAGAAGCCCUCUAAUGCAAGGAAAACUCACGGCAAGGAUGGAUAAGGUUUCUAGAACAAGGAUAAGGUAUCCUAAAUGGAUAAGGACUCCUCAUUGCACUUGGAAACUUUGCCUAUUAGGAUUAGGAAACCUUGUCUUUGUCAUUCCUUCUUCAUUCUGGAUUCCUUUUCCUUCUUGGACUUGGAAAUCUUCUUUGUAGCUGCAACUUGAUGCCAUUUGGAUUUAACUUUCCUACUUCAAGUAGUAAACCUUGUUUGAGUAGGAAUCUUCAUCUUUCAAGGAAUCCUAAUUCAACUAGGAAACCCAUUUUGACUAGGAAUCCUAAUUCAACUAGGAUUCCAUCUUCAC